UACAUUUUGGUGUAUGGUGCACAGAAGUUUUUGAUAUUUCAGGGGGUAGUUUAAAUCUGUCAAAUGUAG
RNAcentral lists this transfer RNA (69 nucleotides) under Rhabdoblatta nigrovittata. RNAcentral describes it as "tRNA-Gln". Lineage: Eukaryota; Metazoa; Arthropoda; Insecta; Blattodea; Blaberidae. The record is from RNAcentral.